GUAGGUGGCAAGCGUUGUCCGGAAUUAUUGGGCGUAAAGCGCGCGCAGGCGGUUCGUUUAAGUCUGAUGUGAAAGCCCACGGGCUCAACCGUGGAGGGUCAUUGGAAACUGGAGAACUUGAGUACAGAAGAGGAAAGCGGAAUUCCACGUGUAGCGGUGAAGUGCGUAGAGAUGUGGAGGAACACCAGUGGCGAAGGCGGCUUUCUGGUCUGUAACUGACGCUGAGGCGCGAAAGCGUGGGGAGCAAACAGGAUUAGAUACCCUGGUAGUCCACGCCGUAAACGAUGAGUGCUAAGUGUUAGGGGGUUUCCGCCCCUUAGUGCUGCAGCUAACGCAUUAAGCACUCCGCCUGGGGAGUACGGCCGCAAGGCUG
This 373-nucleotide ribosomal RNA is filed under the name uncultured organism. RNAcentral's name for it is "partial 16S ribosomal RNA". It matches the Rfam family "Bacterial small subunit ribosomal RNA", at positions 527 to 896 of the family's 1533-position model. The record is from RNAcentral.